RNAcentral lists this ribosomal RNA (403 nucleotides) under uncultured soil bacterium. Its description in RNAcentral is "bacterial SSU rRNA". It matches the Rfam family "Bacterial small subunit ribosomal RNA", at positions 26 to 428 of the family's 1533-position model. The record is from RNAcentral.
AGAUUGAACGCUGGCGGCAUGCCUAACACAUGCAAGUCGAACGGGAGUAGCAAUACUCUAGUGGCGGACGGGUGAGGAAUACGUAGGAAUUUGCCCUUAAGUGGGGGAUAACCCGGGGAAACCCGGAUUAAUACCGCAUGACCUCGAAAGAGCAAAGUGGGGGAUCGCAAGACCUCACGCUUUUGGAGAAGCCUACGUCGGAUUAGCUAGUUGGUGAGGUAAUGGCUCACCAAGGCGACGAUCCGUAACUGGUCUGAGAGGAUGAUCAGUCACACCGGAACUGAGACACGGUCCGGACUCCGUACGGGAGCAGCGAGGUGGGAAUUAGUGGAACAAGUGGGCGACGAAGCCUAGACUCCAGCAAGUCGCCGCGUUGUGUAGAAGACGGUCCGUUGGUUAGUAA